UCCGGGUGUUUGACGGGUGGAAAAGGUGAUGAUGUGACGUCGAGUCAAGGGUGUAUCACGGACAAAAGACCAAAGAAACCAUCAGGUGCCCAGAAAGAGAAGG
Melanotaenia boesemani (Boeseman's rainbowfish) is the source of this 103-nucleotide long non-coding RNA. RefSeq lists it as uncharacterized. The transcript has 3 exons. The record is from RefSeq and is a predicted model, not a curated record. Lineage: Eukaryota; Metazoa; Chordata; Actinopteri; Atheriniformes; Melanotaeniidae.